AAAUAGAUACCCGGGUAGUCCACGCCGUAAACGAUGAGUGCUAGGUGUUAGGGGGUCCAACCCUUAGUGCCGAAGUUAACACAUUAAGCACUCCGCCUGGGGAGUACGGUCGCAAGACUGAAACUCAAAGGAAUUGACGGGGGCCCGCACAAGCGGUGGGGCAUGUGGUUUAAUUCGAAGCAACGCGAAGAACCUUACCAGGGCUUGACAUCCCUCUGACCGUUCUAGAGAUAGAGCUUCCCUUCGGGGCAGAGGUGACAGGUGGUGCAUGGUUGUCGUCAGCUCGUGUCGUGAGAUGUUGGGUUAAGUCCCGCAACGAGCGCAACCCUUGUCCUUAGUUGCCAGCAUUCAGUUGGGCACUCUAGGGAGACUGCCGGUGACAAACCGGAGGAAGGUGGGGAUGACGUCAAAUCAUCAUGCCCCUUAUGUCCUGGGCUACACACGUGCUACAAUGGCUGGUACAAAGGGUAGCGGAGCAGUGAUGUGGAGCCAAUCCCAAAAAGCCAGUCACAGUUCGGAUUGUAGGCUGCAACUCGCCUACG
This 542-nucleotide ribosomal RNA is filed under the name uncultured bacterium. RNAcentral's name for it is "bacterial SSU rRNA". It matches the Rfam family "Bacterial small subunit ribosomal RNA", at positions 776 to 1320 of the family's 1533-position model. The record is from RNAcentral.